RNAcentral lists this ribosomal RNA (322 nucleotides) under Allapsidae sp. Its description in RNAcentral is "SSU rRNA". The stretch from base 105 to 322 matches the Rfam family "Eukaryotic small subunit ribosomal RNA", at positions 737 to 955 of the family's 1831-position model. Lineage: Eukaryota; Cercozoa; Glissomonadida; Viridiraptoridae. The record is from RNAcentral.
GAUUUCUGGUCUGGUGCGCCUGGCCCAGGACGCAAGUCUUCGAGUGCCGGGUCGCGCCUGCCAUCCUUCUAGAGAACGUGCCUACCCUUCACUGGGCCGGGUAACGCCAUCUAGAUCUUUUACUUUGAAAAAAUUAGAGUGUUUAAAGCAGGCUGUUGCUAUGAAUACAUUAGCAUGGAAUAAUAAUUUAGGACUUCGGUUCUAUUUUGUUGGUCUUCUAGGACUGAAGUAAUGAUUGAUAGGGAUAGUUGGGGGUGCUAGUAUUCAGUGGCCAGAGGUGAAAUUCUCGGAUUCACUGAAGACUAACUUAUGCGAAAGCAUU